RNAcentral lists this unclassified non-coding RNA (380 nucleotides) under soil metagenome. Its description in RNAcentral is "partial contains 5.8S ribosomal RNA, internal transcribed spacer 2, and large subunit ribosomal RNA". The stretch from base 1 to 120 matches the Rfam family "5.8S ribosomal RNA", at positions 35 to 154 of the family's 154-position model. The record is from RNAcentral.
GAUGAAGAACGUAGCGAAAUGCGAUAAGUAAUGUGAAUUGCAGAGUUUUGUGAAUCAUCGAAUCUUUGAACGCACAUUGCGCCCCUCGGUAUUCCGACGGGCAUGCCUGUCCGAGCGUCGUUUGCAACCCAUCGAGUAACACUUCUCGGUCUUGGGCGCCGUCCGCCCCCUCGGGGGAUCGGACGGGCCCCAAAGCCCUCGGCGGCCCCGGGUGCCCCGCCGGAGCGUCUUCGAAAGCAAUCGCUCCGGCGCGUCGCGCCCCGGGACCACGCCGGCACCGCGGCCCCCCCCCCAAAGGGGUCGCACCCCCAACACCAAACGUCUGACCUCGGAUCAGGUAGGGCUACCCGCUGAACUUAAGCAUAUCAAUAAGCGGAGGA